CAUCUGUAGCCCCUUGCUGUACAGUGUCAUCAUAUCCAAUAAGGCUUGCUUUUCUCUGAUUUUAGGGGUGUAUAUAAUAGGCCUGGUUUGUGCAUCAGUUCAUACAGGCUGUAUGUUUAGGGUUCAAUUCUGCAAAUUUGAUUUGAUUAACCAUUAUUUCUGUGAUCUUCUUCCCCUCCUAAAGCUCUCUUGCUCUAGUAUCUAUGUCAACAAACUACUUAUUCUAUGUGUUGGUGCAUUUAACAUCCUUGUCCCCAGCCUGACCAUCCUUUGCUCUUACAUCUUUAUUAUUGCCAGCAUCCUCCACAUUCGCUCCACUGAGGGCAGGUCCAAAGCCUUCAGCACUUGUAGCUCCCACAUGUUGGCGGUUGUAAUCUUUUUUGGAUCUGCAGCAUUCAUGUACUUGCAGCCAUCUUCAAUCAGCUCCAUGGACCAGGGGAAAGUAUCCUCUGUGUUUUAUACUAUUAUUGUG
RNAcentral lists this long non-coding RNA (472 nucleotides) under Homo sapiens (human). RNAcentral's name for it is "long non-coding RNA NONHSAT024877.2". The record is from RNAcentral. Lineage: Eukaryota; Metazoa; Chordata; Mammalia; Primates; Hominidae.